RNAcentral lists this ribosomal RNA (211 nucleotides) under Acanthamoeba sp. Its description in RNAcentral is "partial 18S ribosomal RNA". It matches the Rfam family "Eukaryotic small subunit ribosomal RNA", at positions 904 to 1079 of the family's 1831-position model. Lineage: Eukaryota; Discosea; Longamoebia; Acanthamoebidae. The record is from RNAcentral.
GUCAGAGGUGAAAUUCUUGGAUUUAUGAAAGAUUAACUUCUGCGAAAGCAUCUGCCAAGGAUGUUUUCAUUAAUCAAGAACGAAAGUUAGGGGAUCGAAGACAAUCCCACUCCGUCGUACUCUUAACCAUAAACGAUGCCCACCAGCCGUUAAGAAACGUUGAAUACAAAAAGGCACCGUCGGCACUGUAGUACCCGGUUCGACGUCAUCC